AACGAACGCUGGCGGCAUGCCUAACACAUGCAAGUCGAACGAGACCUUCGGGUCUAGUGGGGCACGGGUGCGUGAGGCGUGGGAGCCUGCGUUUAGGGUCGGAAUAACUCCCCGUACGGGGUGCUAAUACCGGAUAAUGUCUUCGGAUCAGAGAUUUUCCGCCUUUGGUUGAGCACGCGUUGGAUUAGCUUGUUGGUUGGGUAAGUGCCUACCUAGGCGACGAUCCGUGUCUGGUUUGAGUGGAGGAUCAGCCACACUGGGACUGAGACACGGCCCGGGCGCCUACUGGACGCAGCGGUGGGGAAUGUUGGACAGUGGGCGAGAGCCUGAUCCAGCACUGCCGCUUGAGUGAUGAAGUCGUUAGGGUUGUAGAGCUCUUUUACCCGUGAUUAUAAUGACAGUACCGGGAUAAUAAGCUCCGGCUAACUCCGUG
Molecule: ribosomal RNA, 433 nt
Filed under: uncultured bacterium
Lineage: Bacteria
Description: partial 16S ribosomal RNA
Rfam family: Bacterial small subunit ribosomal RNA
Source: RNAcentral